AUUUUCCUCCAACUGGAUUUUAAUUGAGUCUACGAAGAAACACUUUUCAUUCCACACUUAAGUUCCAAGAAUUUAAUUUGUCUCAAUUGCUAUAGACUAUCUUAAGUGAAAAGCAACUGAAAAAUUAAAAUUUUUAGCCACCUUCACAUUAAAAAUAACAAUCGCGGUGCUUACAGCAAAGUGUCAUCAAUCUCUUGAAACGUAUCUGGCAACAGCACAUUUAAUGUCAACAACUGAUAAUAAAUCAAGCAGUAAAUUUCCAAUAACGAAAGGUACUUCCCACAAUUCUAACAUCUAAAUUCAUGUGAAUUUUAUGAAAAGCCCUUCAAUUUAACGUCUGGUAGUAAAUCUCUUGAACUUUUGGUAUAAAUAAAUGGCAUUUCAUAGAGUAAAGCAUCAUUUGACAAAAUGAAAUUCUACUCUUUAGUUGCAUUUGUUUUGGCUCUUUUGGCCUUGGCUAUGGCCAAUCCCAAUCCUAAUCCUCGUCCACAACCCAGACCUUUACCUGGUGGUGGAGGAGGCGGUGGCGGCGGAGGUGGUGGCUGGUUCGGAGGUGGUGGUGGAGGCGGCGGUGGAGGUGGUGGCAAAUAAAUCACUCUUGCCAUUGUAGUCUAAAGGCAAGGAAAGCGAAAUGGAAAAUCUCUGAAAAACAAAUAAAGAAAAUAAUAAAAAUAAUUAAAAAAAAAAA
Stomoxys calcitrans (stable fly) is the source of this 688-nucleotide long non-coding RNA. RefSeq lists it as uncharacterized. Lineage: Eukaryota; Metazoa; Arthropoda; Insecta; Diptera; Muscidae. The record is from RefSeq and is a predicted model, not a curated record. The transcript is spliced from 2 exons.